AUUGAACGCUGGCGGCAGGCCUAACACAUGCAAGUCGGGCGAGCGGCGGACGGGUGAGUAAUGUAUGGGGACUGCCUGAUGGCGGGGGAUAACUACUGGAAACGGUAGCUAAUACCGCAUACUAUCGGAUAACCCAUAUGGGAUUAGCUAGUAGGUGGGGGAAAGGCUCACCUAGGCGACGAUAUCUAGCUGGUCUGAGAGGAUGAUCAGCCACACUGGGACUGGGACAAGGCCCAGACUCCUACGGAGGCAGCAGUGGGGGAUAUUGCACAAUGGGGGAAAGCCUGAUGCAGCGACGCCGCGUGGGGGAUGAAGGCUUGCGGGUUGUAAACCUCUUUCGCUAUCGAACGGGUAGGUGGAGAAGAAGCGCCGGCUAACUACGUGCCAGCAGCCGCGGUAAUUC
Molecule: ribosomal RNA, 403 nt
Filed under: uncultured bacterium
Lineage: Bacteria
Description: partial 16S ribosomal RNA
Rfam family: Bacterial small subunit ribosomal RNA
Source: RNAcentral